This 374-nucleotide unclassified non-coding RNA is filed under the name fungal sp. RNAcentral describes it as "partial internal transcribed spacer region". The stretch from base 1 to 46 matches the Rfam family "Eukaryotic small subunit ribosomal RNA", at positions 1786 to 1831 of the family's 1831-position model. The record is from RNAcentral. Lineage: Eukaryota; Fungi.
AAGUCGUAUCAAGGUUUCCGUAGGUGAACCUGCGGAAGGAUCAUUAUCACGUAUCCACGUAUAAACCACUGCGAACCGUAUUCCCUUUAGAAGGGUUGGGGUCUCCUAACGGAGAGCUUUGGGCCAAUAGUCUUCUCAAUUUCGUGAUGGAGAAGCGGUCUAGAGUUUGUUUCACGACAACCUUGGUCCUUUUAAAGCGGUUAUUCAUCACGAACCGUACAAACUUAUUAACCCCUUUAAACUUUUUGAACUGAAUCUUUUAAGUCCAAAUCUUUGGUUCUUCGGAAUCGAAGCUGGCCUUAAAUACUUUACGAAAUAUUCGAACAAUUCUUAACAACGGAUAUCUUGGCUCUGAUAACGAUGAAGAACGCAGC